This 202-nucleotide ribosomal RNA is filed under the name uncultured bacterium. Its description in RNAcentral is "partial 16S ribosomal RNA". It matches the Rfam family "Bacterial small subunit ribosomal RNA", at positions 1302 to 1500 of the family's 1533-position model. The record is from RNAcentral.
AGGCUGAAACUACGCCUACAUGAAGCUGGAGUUGCUAGUAAUCGCGAAUCAGCAUGUCGCGGUGAAUACGUUCCCGGGCCUUGUACACACCGCCCGUCACACCAUGAGAGUUGGCAAUACCCAACGUACGUGAUCUAACCCGCAAGGGAGGAAGCGUCCUAAGGUAGGGUCAGCGAUUGGGGUGAAGUCGUAACAAGGUAUC